UACGUAGGGUGCGAGCGUUAAUCGGAAUUACUGGGCGUAAAGCGUGCGUAGGCGGUUCGUUAAGUUCGUUGUGAAAGCCCCGGGCUCAACCUGGGAAUGGCAAUGGAAACUGGCGGGCUGGAGUAUGGCAGAGGGGGGUGGAAUUCCGCGUGUAGCAGUGAAAUGCGCAGAUAUCAGGAGGAACACCGAUGGCGAAGGCAGCUCGCUGGGACGGUACUGAUGCUGAGGCGCGAAAGCGUGGGGAGCAAACAGG
RNAcentral lists this ribosomal RNA (253 nucleotides) under uncultured bacterium. RNAcentral describes it as "partial 16S ribosomal RNA". It matches the Rfam family "Bacterial small subunit ribosomal RNA", at positions 524 to 776 of the family's 1533-position model. The record is from RNAcentral.